RNAcentral lists this ribosomal RNA (189 nucleotides) under uncultured bacterium. Its description in RNAcentral is "partial 16S ribosomal RNA". It matches the Rfam family "Bacterial small subunit ribosomal RNA", at positions 338 to 524 of the family's 1533-position model. The record is from RNAcentral.
CCUACGGGAGGCAGCAGUGAGGAAUAUUGGUCAAUGGACGCGAGUCUGAACCAGCCAAGUCGCGUGAAGGAAGACUGCCCUAAGGGUUGUAAACUUCUUUUGUAUGGGAAUAAAAAAUAGAACGUGUUCUAUAUUGUAUGUACCAUACGAAUAAGGAUCGGCUAACUCCGUGCCAGCAGCCGCGGUAAU